AAAAAUGGGGGGACAGCGCGGAUCCGCCAUGCCGCGUGCGGGAUGAAGGCCUUCGGGUUGUAAAGCGCUUUUGUCAGGGAAGAAAAGGUUCGGGUCAAUACCUGGAACUCAUGACGGUACCUGAACAAUAAGCCCCGGCUAACUACGUGCCCGCAGCCGCGGGAAUACCUACGGUGCCAGCGUUCAUCCGAAUUACUGGGCGUAAAGCGGGCGCAAGCGGAUAUGCAACACACACGUGAAAUCCCCGGGCUCAACCUGGGAACUGCCUUUGUGACGGCAAGGCUAGAGUACGGCACAGGGGGAUGGAAUUCCGCCUGCAGCAGCGUAAUGCGCAGAUAUGCGGAGGAACACCGAUGGCGAACGCAAUCCCCUGGAACUGGACUGACACUCAUGCGCGAAAGCGUGGGGAGGAAACAGGAUUACAUACCCUGGUAGUCCACCCCCUAAACGACGUCAACUGGCUGUUGGUAGGGCCCCUAAUCAGUACACCUAGCUAACGCGUGAAGUUGACCGCCUGGGGAGUAAGGCCGCAAGGUUGAAACUCACAGGAAUUGACGG
Molecule: ribosomal RNA, 558 nt
Filed under: uncultured Burkholderiales bacterium
Lineage: Bacteria; Pseudomonadati; Pseudomonadota; Betaproteobacteria; Burkholderiales
Description: bacterial SSU rRNA
Rfam family: Bacterial small subunit ribosomal RNA
Source: RNAcentral